RNAcentral lists this ribosomal RNA (301 nucleotides) under uncultured bacterium. RNAcentral describes it as "partial 16S ribosomal RNA". It matches the Rfam family "Bacterial small subunit ribosomal RNA", at positions 509 to 807 of the family's 1533-position model. The record is from RNAcentral.
CAGUAGCCGCGGUAAUACGAAGGUCCCGAGCGUUGUUCGGAAUCACUGGGCGUAAAGGGAGCGUAGGCGGCGUGGUAAGUCAGAUGUGAAAUCCCGGGGCUCAACCCCGGAACUGCAUCCGAUACUGCCGUGCUAGAGGAUUGGAGAGGUAGCUGGAAUUCUUGGUGUAGCAGUGAAAUGCGUGGAGAUCAAGAGGAACACUCGUGGCGAAAGCGAGCUACUGGACAAUAUCUGACGCUGAGGCUCGAAGGCCAGGGUAGCGAAAGGGAUUAGAUACCCCCGUAGUCCCUGUCUCUUAUAC